RNAcentral lists this ribosomal RNA (261 nucleotides) under uncultured Ochrobactrum sp. RNAcentral describes it as "partial 16S ribosomal RNA". It matches the Rfam family "Bacterial small subunit ribosomal RNA", at positions 63 to 355 of the family's 1533-position model. The record is from RNAcentral. Lineage: Bacteria; Pseudomonadati; Pseudomonadota; Alphaproteobacteria; Hyphomicrobiales; Brucellaceae.
CGAGCGCCCGCAAGGGGAGCGGCAGACGGGUGAGUAACGCGUGGGAACGUACCUUUUGCUACGGAAUAACUCAGGGAAACUUGUGCUAAUACCGUAUGUGCCCUUCGGGGAAAGAUUUAUCGGCAAAGGAUCGGCCCGCGUUGGAUUAGCUAGUUGGUGAGGUAAAGGCUCACCAAGGCGACGAUCCAUAGCUGGUCUGAGAGGAUGAUCAGCCACACUGGGACUGAGACACGGCCCAGACUCCUACGGGAGGCAGCAGCC